AGAGUUUGAUCAUGGCUCAGAACGAACGCUGGCGGCAGGCCUAACACAUGCAAGUCGAACGAGAAGCCACCUUCGGGUGGUGGACAGUGGCAGACGGGUGAGUAACGCGUGGGAACGUGCCUUUCGGUUCGGGAUAACCCAGGGAAACUUGGGCUAAUACCGGAUACGCCCUUCGGGGGAAUGAUUCAUUGCCGAAAGAUCGGCCCGCGUCGGAUUAGCUAGUUGGUGGGGUAAUGGCCUACCAAGGCGACGAUCCGUAGCUGGUCUGAGAGGAUGACCAGCCACACUGGGACUGAGACACGGCCCAGACUCCUACGGGAGGCAGCAGUGGGGAAUAUUGGACAAUGGGCGCAAGCCUGAUCCAGCCAUGCCGCGUGGGUGAAGAAGGCCUUAGGGUUGUAAACCCCUUUCAGCGGGGAAGAUAUGCGGACCCGAGAAAAGUCCGGUAACUCGUGCCAGCAGCCGCGGUA
This 470-nucleotide ribosomal RNA is filed under the name uncultured Pseudomonadota bacterium. RNAcentral describes it as "bacterial SSU rRNA". It matches the Rfam family "Bacterial small subunit ribosomal RNA", at positions 8 to 522 of the family's 1533-position model. Lineage: Bacteria; Pseudomonadati; Pseudomonadota. The record is from RNAcentral.